UACGUAGGGUGCGAGCGUUGUCCGGAAUUACUGGGCGUAAAGAGCUCGUAGGUGGUUUGUCGCGUUGUUCGUGAAAACUCACAGCUUAACUGUGGGCGUGCGGGCGAUACGGGCAGACUGGAGUACUGCAGGGGAGACUGGAAUUCCUGGUGUAGCGGUGAAAUGCGCAGAUAUCAGGAGGAACACCAACAGCGAAGGCAGCACUCUGGGCCGGUACUGACGCUGAGGAGCGAAAGCAUGGGGAGCGAACAGG
RNAcentral lists this ribosomal RNA (253 nucleotides) under uncultured bacterium. RNAcentral's name for it is "partial 16S ribosomal RNA". It matches the Rfam family "Bacterial small subunit ribosomal RNA", at positions 524 to 776 of the family's 1533-position model. The record is from RNAcentral.